Molecule: transfer RNA, 77 nt
Filed under: Rickettsiales bacterium
Lineage: Bacteria; Pseudomonadati; Pseudomonadota; Alphaproteobacteria; Rickettsiales
Description: tRNA-Asp
Rfam family: tRNA
About the family: Transfer RNA (tRNA) molecules are approximately 80 nucleotides in length.
Source: RNAcentral
GGGGGUGUAGCUCAGAUGGUUAGAGCGCCGGCCUGUCACGCCGGAGGUCGCGGGUUCGAUCCCCGUCACUCCCGCCA